UACGGAGGGUGCAAGCGUUGUCCGGAAUCACUGGGCGUAAAGGGCGCGUAGGCGGCUCAUGAAGGCUGUGGUGAAAGUCCGGGGCUCAACCUCGGAUCGGCCGUGGCGACUCGUGGGCUGGAGCACUGUAGAGGCGGGUGGAAUUCCGGGUGUAGCGGUGGAAUGCGUAGAGAUCCGGAAGAACACCAGUGGCGAAGGCGGCCCGCUGGG
Molecule: ribosomal RNA, 210 nt
Filed under: uncultured bacterium
Lineage: Bacteria
Description: partial 16S ribosomal RNA
Rfam family: Bacterial small subunit ribosomal RNA
Source: RNAcentral